This 628-nucleotide long non-coding RNA is filed under the name Homo sapiens (human). RNAcentral's name for it is "non-protein coding lnc-TAOK3-7:2". The record is from RNAcentral. Lineage: Eukaryota; Metazoa; Chordata; Mammalia; Primates; Hominidae.
GGCCAGAUGAAUGUUCUGCCACCAAGAGGAAGACUUUGACAUUUAAAAAAUUCUCCAUCUCUCUCCAAGUGUCCCAUCCCCAACUCAGAAAUAAUAAUAAUGGUAAUAAUAAUAACUUUAUUAUUGUCAUUGAGAGCUCAUUGCGUGACAGGCGCUACGCUAAGCACUUUACAUACGUUAUGUAUCAAAUCCUCAGAAAAAUCCAUGAAGAGGACAUUAAUAUGUUGCAGAUGAAGACACUGAGGCUUGGAGAACUUAAAUUGCCCAAAGAGCUUCUCACACCUGUUGCCAUGGACUCCCAGGUUGAAGGUCACAUAACCUUAGCAUGCCCAGAUAAACCAAGUAUGCAACCACACGGGGAACCUAAGUGCUCAGACCAAGGAGCAGGAACUGAAUUAAGACACGGACACCACAUGGCAGAAUCCAAGAUCCAAUCAGAUCGAGCUCUGGAAUCACCCCAUGGUGGAAGCCAGUCAGAUCAUUCCUCUUGGCAUCACCUCAUUGCAAGAUCCAAUCAGAUCACGUCUCAUUACCCUAUCCUUAUAAAACCGGACAGACCUCAGCUCAGGAAGGCACUGCUUUGGGAGCUAUCACCCCUAUUUUCCUUAAUUACUUCAAGUAAUAAAAU